CGGCACACCUCUCCCUCUCUUCUAUAUUGUUGCUUUACCGCCUAUCAUCCCGGCGUAGCAGCGUGCGCUGGUGCGCACAUCGGAUCUCUGUUGCGGGCGGCAGCAGUCGCACUCUGAAUGCCUCGGCCCACGCGUGGGAGGCCAUCGCACUCACUCCCAUCACACCCGCCUGUAGCCGUGGGGCAUUUUCUUCUUUGCUUGGCGAUUGCCGUGACGCGUUUCUAUCGAACAGGGUAACGCGCCCUUCGCGCUGCUAGCGACCUACCCUGCUUUCUCACACCCCUCCUGUGCAUAUAGGAAGGCGUCUACUCAGCGGCUCACGAGCGGAUUCGGCUACGCGGACACGUGCGCCCGACUAUUUGCCUGCGUUGGCGCAUUUUGGCGCACCACCUCCGGCUCACCACCCCUCCUUCCCCAUCGGGCAGCCCGAAGGACAAAAAAGAACGGGGCCGAGGCAGUGGACGAGCGGAAGGCCCCAAAAGGGAGAGCGAGCUGUUCUCUCGCUUGCACGGAGGCGCACACCCACCCACCCACACAUAUAUAUAUAUAUAUACGUACAGACACGUGUGCACUGCAGAGAAUACACACAAAUUAUUUGCUUUCAUACUUUUCCUUGUUGACCCCCCCUCCCCGCCACCCCUUCUCUCCCCCGCCAACGAAAGUCGGGCGCCGCAAAGAUGGACAUUUUAGGCGUGACCUUUAUUGCCGUCAGCAAGGUGAUCGUGGCGGUGCUCGUCGGUGUGUUCACGACAAACUUGAUACCGAGCAGCACGAUAACGCUGCACAACUUUUCCUUCCUGAUCUCCGCGCUCCUCCUCACAUCCCUCACCCUGUCGAACACGGCCAAAUCGAUCGACCUCGAAG
RNAcentral lists this unclassified non-coding RNA (864 nucleotides) under Leishmania donovani. RNAcentral's name for it is "gene:unknown". The record is from RNAcentral. Lineage: Eukaryota; Euglenozoa; Kinetoplastea; Trypanosomatida; Trypanosomatidae.